This 220-nucleotide long non-coding RNA is filed under the name Elaeis guineensis (African oil palm). RNAcentral describes it as "long non-coding RNA (EGUI_LNC051916)". Lineage: Eukaryota; Viridiplantae; Streptophyta; Magnoliopsida; Arecales; Arecaceae. The record is from RNAcentral.
AAUAUGAUCGCCAAAGAAAAGAAAGAAGAAAGGUUGGAAUCCCCACCAAAGGAUCGGCAGCAUUUCUAUUCUCCACCCCAACAUUGGAGGUCCAGAACUCCCUCACAAAACCAUGGACAAAAGGAUAAUUUUAGAAGAGAGCAGUGUGUAUCUCUACCUAGGAAGUUUAUGGACUACAUUGGUUGAACGCUACUCGAGCUCAAAUACAGAUGGAAAUCAG